This 1382-nucleotide ribosomal RNA is filed under the name metagenome. Its description in RNAcentral is "SSU rRNA". It matches the Rfam family "Eukaryotic small subunit ribosomal RNA", at positions 360 to 1801 of the family's 1831-position model. The record is from RNAcentral.
AACGAAGAAUUAGGGUUCGAUUUCGGAGAGGGAGCAUGAGAAACGGCUACCACAUCUAAGGAAGGCAGCAGGCGCGUAAAUUACCCAAUCCUGACUCAGGGAGGUAGUGACAAGAAAUAGCAAACCGGGAACCUCAUGGUUUCACGGUAUUGCAAUGAGAACAAUUUAAAACCCUUAGCGAGAAUCAAGUGGAGGACAAGUCUGGUGCCAGCACCCGCGGUAAUUCCAGCUCCACUAGCGUAUAUUAAAGUUGUUGCAGUUAAAAAGCUCGUAGUUGAACCUCUGUCUGGGGCUAGUUUUGGCUUUGGUCAGGCUAGUUCUAGGCAUCCGCCUACAAGACUUAGAGGGCAUUCAUUUGUUCACUAGGAGGAGUAGGCAUUUUACUUUGAAAAAAUUAGAGUGUUUAAGGCAGGCAAUCGCCCGCAUAUAUUAGCAUGGAAUAAUAGAAUAGGACACUUUUCCAUUUCGUUGGUUAUUGGAAUCGUGUAAUGAUUAAUAGGGACAGUUGUGGGCAUUUGUAUUUAAUUGUCAGAGGUGAAAUUCUUGGAUUUAUUAAAGACAAACUAACGCGAAAGCAUUUGCCAAGGAUGUUUUCAUUAAUCAAGAACGAAAGUUAGGGGAUCAAAGACGAUCAGAUACCGUCCUAGUCUUAACUAUAAACUAUUCCGACUCAAUGUUUGACUGGCUUAUAUAACCAGUUGAGCGUUGUAUGAGAAAUCAAAGUCUUUAGGUUCUGGGGGGAGUAUGGUGCAAAGCUGAAACUUAAAGGAAUUGACGGAAGAGCACAACCAGGAGUGGAUUCUGCGGCUUAAUUUGACUCAACACGGGGAAACUUACCAGGUUAAAACAAUAGUGGGAUUGACAGUUUGAGAGCGCUUUCUUGAUUGGUUGGGUGAUGGUGCAUGGCCGUUCUUAGUUGGUGGAGUGAUUUGUCUGCUUAAUUGCGUUAACGAACGAGACCUUAACCUGCUUACUAGACUGGCGAUCAUCAAUCGUUAGCUCUUCUUAGGGGGACUUUGGUUGUUUUAACUCCAAGGAAGUUUGAGGCAAUAACAGGUCUGUGAUGCCCUUAGAUAUCCUGGGCCGCACGCGUCAUACAAUGACUAGUUCAGAAAGUUUUCUCCUGACCCGAAAGGGGAUGGGUAAUCUUGAUAAUACUAGUCGUGUUAGGGAUCGAUCUUUGCAAUUAUAGAUCUUGAACGAGGAAUUCCUAGUAAGUGCGGUUCAUCAGACCGUACUGAUUACGUCCCUGCUCUUUGUACACACCGCCCGUCGCUUCUACCGAGUGGGUGGUCCGGUGAGAUAAUUGAACUUCGCAGGUAACUGAGAGGAAAGAUUAUCAAACCUAUCCACCUCGAGGAAGAAGAAGUCGUAACAAGGUU